This 258-nucleotide ribosomal RNA is filed under the name uncultured bacterium. Its description in RNAcentral is "partial 16S ribosomal RNA". It matches the Rfam family "Bacterial small subunit ribosomal RNA", at positions 96 to 354 of the family's 1533-position model. The record is from RNAcentral.
CGGCGGACGGGUGAGUAACGCGUGGGUAACCUGCCUUACACAGGGGGAUAACAGUUAGAAAUGACUGCUAAUACCGCAUAAGACCCCGGUACCGCAUGGUACAGAGGUAAAAACUGAGGUGGUGUAAGAUGGACCCGCGUCUGAUUAGGUAGUUGGUGAGGUAACGGCUCACCAAGCCGACGAUCAGUAGCCGGCCUGAGAGGGUGGACGGCCACAUUGGGACUGAGACACGGCCCAGACUCCUACGGAAGGCAGCAG